RNAcentral lists this ribosomal RNA (253 nucleotides) under uncultured bacterium. RNAcentral describes it as "partial 16S ribosomal RNA". It matches the Rfam family "Bacterial small subunit ribosomal RNA", at positions 524 to 776 of the family's 1533-position model. The record is from RNAcentral.
UACGUAGGGUGCAGGCGUUAAUCGGAAUUACUGGGCGUAAAGCGUGCGCAGGCGGUGAUGUAAGACAGAUGUGAAAUCCCCGGGCUCAACCUGGGAACUGCAUUUGUGACUGCAUCGCUGGAGUGCGGCAGAGGGGGAUGGAAUUCCGCGUGUAGCAGUGAAAUGCGCAGAUAUCAGGAGGAACACCGGUGGCGAAGGCGGGAUCCUGGGCCAGUACUGACGCUGAGGAGCGAAAGCGUGGGGAGCAAACAGG